RNAcentral lists this ribosomal RNA (485 nucleotides) under uncultured bacterium. RNAcentral describes it as "bacterial SSU rRNA". It matches the Rfam family "Bacterial small subunit ribosomal RNA", at positions 26 to 507 of the family's 1533-position model. The record is from RNAcentral.
AGAUUGAACGCUGGCGGCAUGCCUUACACAUGCAAGUCGAACGGCGAGCACGGGGCAACCUGGUGGCGAGUGGCGAACGGGUGAGUAAUGCAUCGGAACGUGCAUUGAGUGGGGGGUAACGUAGCGAAAGUUACGCUAAUACCGCAUAUUCUGUGAGCAGGAAAGCAGGGGAUCGCAAGACCUUGCGCUCUUUGAGCGGCCGAUGUCAGAUUAGCUAGUUGGUGAGGUAACGGCUUACCAAGGCGACGAUCUGUAGCGGGUCUGAGAGGAUGAUCCGCCACACUGGAACUGAGACACGGUCCAGACUCCUACGGGAGGCAGCAGUGGGGAAUUUUUGGACAAUGGGGGCAACCCUGAUCCAGCCAUGCCGCGUGAGUGAAGAAGGCCUUCGGGUUGUAAAGCUCUUUCGGCCGGGAAGAAAUCGCAUGGGUUAAUACCCUGUGUGGAUGACGGUACCGGCAUAAGAAGCACCGGCUAACUACGUG